UACGUAGGGUGCGAGCGUUAAUCGGAAUUACUGGGCGUAAAGCGUGCGCAGGCGGUUCGUUAAGUUCGGUGUGAAAGCCCCGGGCUCAACCUGGGAAUUGCAUUGGAAACUGGCGGGCUUGAGUGUGGCAGAGGGGGGUGGAAUUCCACGUGUAGCAGUGAAAUGCGUAGAGAUGUGGAGGAACACCGAUGGCGAAGGCAGCCCCCUGGGCUAACACUGACGCUCAGGCACGAAAGCGUGGGGAGCAAACAGG
Molecule: ribosomal RNA, 253 nt
Filed under: uncultured bacterium
Lineage: Bacteria
Description: partial 16S ribosomal RNA
Rfam family: Bacterial small subunit ribosomal RNA
Source: RNAcentral